GGGUUGUGAGGUUAAGCGACUAAGCGUACACGGUGGAUGCCCUGGCAGUCAGAGGCGAUGAAGGACGUGCUAAUCUGCGAUAAGCGUCGGUAAGGUGAUAUGAACCGUUAUAACCGGCGAUUUCCGAAUGGGGAAACCCAGUGUGUUUCGACACACUAUCAUUAACUGAAUCCAUAGGUUAAUGAGGCGAACCGGGGGAACUGAAACAUCUAAGUACCCCGAGGAAAAGAAAUCAACCGAGAUUCCCCCAGUAGCGGCGAGCGAACGGGGAGCAGCCCAGAGCCUGAAUCAGUGUGUGUGUUAGUGGAAGCGUCUGGAAAGGCGCGCGAUACAGGGUGACAGCCCCGUACACAAAAAUGCACAUGCUGUGAGCUCGAUGAGUAGGGCGGGACACGUGGUAUCCUGUCUGAAUAUGGGGGGACCAUCCUCCAAGGCUAAAUACUCCUGACUGACCGAUAGUGAACCAGUACCGUGAGGGAAAGGCGAAAAGAACCCCGGCGAGGGGAGUGAAAAAGAACCUGAAACCGUGUACGUACAAGCAGUGGGAGCACGCUUAGGCGUGUGACUGCGUACCUUUUGUAUAAUGGGUCAGCGACUUAUAUUCUGUAGCAAGGUUAACCGAAUAGGGGAGCCGAAGGGAAACCGAGUCUUAACUGGGCGUUAAGUUGCAGGGUAUAGACCCGAAACCCGGUGAUCUAGCCAUGGGCAGGUUGAAGGUUGGGUAACACUAACUGGAGGACCGAACCGACUAAUGUUGAAAAAUUAGCGGAUGACUUGUGGCUGGGGGUGAAAGGCCAAUCAAACCGGGAGAUAGCUGGUUCUCCCCGAAAGCUAUUUAGGUAGCGCCUCGUGAAUUCAUCUCCGGGGGUAGAGCACUGUUUCGGCAAGGGGGUCAUCCCGACUUACCAACCCGAUGCAAACUACGAAUACCGGAGAAUGUUAUCACGGGAGACACACGGCGGGUGCUAACGUCCGUCGUGAAGAGGGAAACAACCCAGACCGCCAGCUAAGGUCCCAAAGUCAUGGUUAAGUGGGAAACGAUGUGGGAAGGCCCAGACAGCCAGGAUGUUGGCUUAGAAGCAGCCAUCAUUUAAAGAAAGCGUAAUAGCUCACUGGUCGAGUCGGCCUGCGCGGAAGAUGUAACGGGGCUAAACCAUGCACCGAAGCUGCGGCAGCGACGCUGAUGCGUUGUUGGGUAGGGGAGCGUUCUGUAAGCCUGCGAAGGUGUGCUGUGAGGCAUGCUGGAGGUAUCAGAAGUGCGAAUGCUGACAUAAGUAACGAUAAAGCGGGUGAAAAGCCCGCUCGCCGGAAGACCAAGGGUUCCUGUCCAACGUUAAUCGGGGCAGGGUGAGUCGACCCCUAAGGCGAGGCCGAAAGGCGUAGUCGAUGGGAAACAGGUUAAUAUUCCUGUACUUGGUGUUACUGCGAAGGGGGGACGGAGAAGGCUAUGUUGGCCGGGCGACGGUUGUCCCGGUUUAAGCGUGUAGGCUGGUUUUCCAGGCAAAUCCGGAAAAUCAAGGCUGAGGCGUGAUGACGAGGCACUACGGUGCUGAAGCAACAAAUGCCCUGCUUCCAGGAAAAGCCUCUAAGCAUCAGGUAACAUCAAAUCGUACCCCAAACCGACACAGGUGGUCAGGUAGAGAAUACCAAGGCGCUUGAGAGAACUCGGGUGAAGGAACUAGGCAAAAUGGUGCCGUAACUUCGGGAGAAGGCACGCUGAUAUGUAGGUGAAGUCCCUCGCGGAUGGAGCUGAAAUCAGUCGAAGAUACCAGCUGGCUGCAACUGUUUAUUAAAAACACAGCACUGUGCAAACACGAAAGUGGACGUAUACGGUGUGACGCCUGCCCGGUGCCGGAAGGUUAAUUGAUGGGGUCAGCGCAAGCGAAGCUCUUGAUCGAAGCCCCGGUAAACGGCGGCCGUAACUAUAACGGUCCUAAGGUAGCGAAAUUCCUUGUCGGGUAAGUUCCGACCUGCACGAAUGGCGUAAUGAUGGCCAGGCUGUCUCCACCCGAGACUCAGUGAAAUUGAACUCGCUGUGAAGAUGCAGUGUACCCGCGGCAAGACGGAAAGACCCCGUGAACCUUUACUAUAGCUUGACACUGAACAUUGAGCCUUGAUGUGUAGGAUAGGUGGGAGGCUUUGAAGUGUGGACGCCAGUCUGCAUGGAGCCGACCUUGAAAUACCACCCUUUAAUGUUUGAUGUUCUAACGUGGACCCGUAAUCCGGGUUGCGGACAGUGUCUGGUGGGUAGUUUGACUGGGGCGGUCUCCUCCUAAAGAGUAACGGAGGAGCACGAAGGUUGGCUAAUCCUGGUCGGACAUCAGGAGGUUAGUGCAAUGGCAUAAGCCAGCUUGACUGCGAGCGUGACGGCGCGAGCAGGUGCGAAAGCAGGUCAUAGUGAUCCGGUGGUUCUGAAUGGAAGGGCCAUCGCUCAACGGAUAAAAGGUACUCCGGGGAUAACAGGCUGAUACCGCCCAAGAGUUCAUAUCGACGGCGGUGUUUGGCACCUCGAUGUCGGCUCAUCACAUCCUGGGGCUGAAGUAGGUCCCAAGGGUAUGGCUGUUCGCCAUUUAAAGUGGUACGCGAGCUGGGUUUAGAACGUCGUGAGACAGUUCGGUCCCUAUCUGCCGUGGGCGCUGGAGAAUUGAGGGGGGCUGCUCCUAGUACGAGAGGACCGGAGUGGACGCAUCACUGGUGUUCGGGUUGUCAUGCCAAUGGCACUGCCCGGUAGCUAAAUGCGGAAGAGAUAAGUGCUGAAAGCAUCUAAGCACGAAACUUGCCCCGAGAUGAGUUCUCCCUGACUCCUUGAGAGUCCUGAAGGAACGUUGAAGACGACGACGUUGAUAGGCCGGGUGUGUAAGCGCAGCGAUGCGUUGAGCUAACCGGUACUAAUGAACCGUGAGGCUUAACCUUACAACGCCGAAG
RNAcentral lists this ribosomal RNA (2925 nucleotides) under Escherichia coli. RNAcentral describes it as "23S ribosomal RNA". It matches the Rfam family "Bacterial large subunit ribosomal RNA". The record is from RNAcentral. Lineage: Bacteria; Pseudomonadati; Pseudomonadota; Gammaproteobacteria; Enterobacterales; Enterobacteriaceae.